This 2486-nucleotide long non-coding RNA is filed under the name Volvox carteri. Its description in RNAcentral is "long non-coding RNA (VCAR_LNC003065)". Lineage: Eukaryota; Viridiplantae; Chlorophyta; Chlorophyceae; Chlamydomonadales; Volvocaceae. The record is from RNAcentral.
GGCACAGCACGCCCCAGCAUCCGCUCUCCGGCGCCCUAGCCUUACACAACAUCACGCACACCCACUUACACCCACUUACACACACAGGCACAGGCACAGGCGUCAUGUUUCACGCACAGCGUACACCGCCACACCCAGCUGUGCCCGUGCAGUAGGCCUCAGCCCUGCUCGCUCCUAAUUAGCCGCUACUUCUGCAUGAAUGCGGCAUCAUCAAGGCUGCCGCAUGCGUACAUACAUUUCGUUGACGCGAGAGCAUGUUUGCACUUGCCCCCUUACACACGCUUAAGGAGCCCUAGUGCGGCCUGGCAGUAUGUAGAUGCAACCUGGAGAACCCCAAGCAACCAGACGCUUUCUCCAGCCCAAUACAAUAUUCUGGCUCCUAUUAAAGGGAAAGAAACCCGAUUGCAGCUGGUUGUAUCAUCCAUCCAGCUCCCUGCAUGUCUGUUGGACCAUGACCAUCUUGCAGUUCCACAGCCGCAAACUCAAAUGGUAUGCAUGGACUCCCAGCCGGUGGCUGAGCCUGCAUGCCACGCAAGGUGAUGAUGGCAGCACAGCUAAGGCUUGGUACGUACCUGUAUGCAUGGCAUGGGGAUCGUGGGUGGAGGAUACACCUGCCGGUGCAGGAUUACACAUGGCUCCCUGACUGGGUAUGCAAGAUCCAAGAUACCGUCCUGGCUAGUAGUCUGGAUCAUAAAGAGUAAUGUGCUGUGCAAAGCCCCACAUAACAGCCCCGCACGGCAGGCCUUGUGCCUGUGCUUGAUGAUAUUGGAUUCCCCCCAACAGCCAAUUGGAGUUGCACACCUGCACCCAGUUCCAAGCAUGUGAUCUCAUUCCAGCAUUGCAGGCACCUGGACGAGCGGCCAACCUGUCGCAGUGCACCGCAGCAAGAGGACUGCGCCCAGGGCCUGUUGACAUCACCCAGUUUCGAUCUGGGGACCUCCUGUGUGUGAGACAGAUGUGAUUCCACUACACCAUGAUGUCGAAGCUAGGCACAGCACGCCCCAGCAUCCGCUCUCCGGCGCCCUAGCCUUACACAACAUCACGCACACCCACUUACACCCACUUACACACACAGACACAGGCACAGGCGUCAUGUUUCACGCACAGCGUACACCGCCACACCCAGCUGUGCCCGUGCAGCAGGCCUCAGUCCUGCUCGCUCCUAAUUAGCCGCUACUUCUGCAUGAAUGCAGCAUCAUCAAGGCCGCCGCAUGCGUACAUACAUUUCGUUGACGCGAGAGCAUGUUUGCACUUGCCCCCUUACACACGCUCCUUAUGUAAGGAGCCCUAGUGCGGCCUGGCAGUAUGUAGAUGCAACCUGGAGAACCCGAAGCAACCAGACGCUUUCUCCAGCCCAAUACAAUAUUCUGGCUCCUAUUAAAGGGAAAGAAACCCGAUUGCAGCUGGUUGUAUCAUCCAUCCAGCUCCCUGCAUGUCUGUUGGACCAUGACCAUCUUGCAGUUCCACAGCCGCAAACUCAAACGGUAUGCAUGGACUCCCAGCCGGUGGCUGAGCCUGCAUGCCACGCAAGGUGAUGAUGGCAGCACAGCUAAGGCUUGGUACGUACCUGUAUGCAUGGCAUGGGGAUCGUGGGUGGAGGAUACACCUGCCGGUGCAGGAUUACACAUGGCUCCCUGACUGGGUAUGCAAGAUCCAAGAUACCGUCCUGGCUAGUAGUCUGGAUCAUAAAGAGUAAUGUGCUGUGCAAAGCCCCGCAUAACAGCCCCGCACGGCAGGCCUUGUGCCUGUGCUUGAUGAUAUUGGAUUCCCCCCAACAGCCAACUGGAGUUGCACACCUGCACCCAGUUCCAAGCAUGUGAUCUCAUUCCAGCAUUGCAGGCACCUGGACGAGCGGCCAACCUGUCGCAGUGCACCGCAGCAAGAGGACUUCGCCCAGGGCCUGAUGACAUCACCCAGUUUCGAUCUGGGGACCUCCUGUGUGUGAGACAGAUGUGAUUCCACUACACCAUGAUGUCGAAGCUAGGCACAGCACGCCCCAGCAUCCGCUCUCCGGCGCCCUAGCCUUACACAACAUCACGCACACCCACUUACACCCACUUACACACACAGACACAGGCACAGGCGUCAUGUUUCACGCACAGCGUACACCGCCACACCCAGCUGUGCCCGUGCAGCAGGCCUCAGUCCUGCUCGCUCCUAAUUAGCCGCUACUUCUGCAUGAAUGCAGCAUCAUCAAGGCCACCGCAUGCAUACAUACAUUUCGUUGACACGAGAGCAUGUUUGCACUUGCCCCCUUACACACGCUCCUUAUGUAAGGAGCCCUAGUGCGGCCUGGCAGUAUGUAGAUGCAAUCUGGAGAACCCCAAGCAACCAGACGCUUUCUCCAGCCCAAUACAAUAUUCUGGCUCCUAUUAAUGCCGUACGUGUCAGGUCUGUACGUCGGGUAAGGUUGAGGAUGAAUAUCAUGUGCUUAUGGAGUGUGAGGCGUAUACUGAGUUGCGUAAUAGGUUUCUGAUUAACGUUGA